RNAcentral lists this long non-coding RNA (342 nucleotides) under Monodelphis domestica (gray short-tailed opossum). Its description in RNAcentral is "lncRNA (ENSMODG00000043610.1)". The record is from RNAcentral. Lineage: Eukaryota; Metazoa; Chordata; Mammalia; Didelphimorphia; Didelphidae.
ACUAAAUAGCUGGAAGUAAUCACCCUUUUUAUUUUGUUUUCUCCCAGAGACUAAAAACGUCAGCAGCAAGUGGCACCAGACAUGAUUAUGUGGAUCUGAGAGAACUGGCAAAAUAGAGAAGUUUGCAUCAUCAAUACCAUGUCCUCACACUGCCAUUUGACAUGAGGAAAAAGAUAAAAAAGAAUAAUUCUCCAGGAUGUUCCGGGAUACCUGGCAAAUGGUCUCUGCAAAUUUGUGUUAAAGAGAGGUGAGUUUUGGCCACAGGUCUUUUAAUUCUGUAUAAAAUGCCUUCUUUAUAUAGACCAGAAUAAAAGUGCUCCAUAAACUGAAUUUUUCUGUAAA